AUGGGGAGUCUAAGCGUCACAAUUACUCUCUCUGCUCCAUGACGACUCUGGGUUUUUGUAGCCUGACUCUUGGCGUCCCUCGUCAUGUUGUGAGCUCUGUUGGGCGUCGGGGGACUCGGGCAUAGUCUAUGAGUGAGCUGUAGGCCUAGGGCUCAUAGGUCAUAAGUGGGGCUAUAACCUAGGGCACAUAGGCCAUGAGUGGAAGGAGGAUCAGUUACUUCGCAUGUCGCGGCUCGGUGCCAGAUGUUGUUAAUACAAUCGGUCAUUAAUGGUGGGGACAAUCCAUCUAUCUCAUGUCGAAUCCACCCGAAUGAGUUCUUGACGACCCGUCUAACUUAUCCUUCUAGUUCCGCCUCACCCGGCCCUUAAGCUCGAUGCUCCAGGGUCAUCCGGGGACAGGUCCUUCUGAGGCGAACUUUCCCUUUGCCUUCCUUCCGACUCAUGGACUGUGAUACUAGCCUCCGAGCCCCAGAGGAGAGAGUGUCUCCUCUUGGUGGCUUCAUUUUGUUGGGUCGGGCAGCACUCGAUCCCCUCUACAUUCCCAAGGGGUCAUCCUUUAUUCCUGUACUGGUUACAACGUUUAAUUCCUCGAGAUCUAUGACGACGUCUGCACCGGUCUCUUCUUGCUUGUAGGGUGUUGGAUCUUUGUCGUCUUUAUAAUUACGGACGGGAGGUCGUCGGUUGCCAUACCACGACUCUUACUUCUUACUGAUCCCUUGGAUGGAUUCAUUCAGAGGGUUGGUUGACGGACCCUCGGUAAGAAAGAGGCCACGAUGUGCCAUGUUAGGGUCAGGGUAAGGUUUUUAGCCAUCUGAGUCUUCCUUUUCCCUCCUUUUUUAUCUUUGAUGUCUAAUGUAGAGCGGCCUCCCGUGGUCAGGAGUCAGCCUGGGUGAUACACCCAGCCUAGGUGGGGUUGGCCGAGGCCCAACAAAUUAGGGUUGCCCGGAGCCCAACAGUUCAUUAAGCACACCCAACUCAGGGAAAGGCCCUUUCCCUCCAUUUUUUAUCUUUGAUGACUGAUGUAGAGCGGCCUCCCGUGGUCAGGAGUCAGCCUGGGUGAUACACCCAGCCCAGGUGGGUUGGCCGAGGCCCAACAAAUUAGGGUUGCCCGGAGCCCAACAGUUCAUUAAGCACACCCAACUCAGGGAAAGGCCCAAUUGCCCCAAAAGACUAGUCCAAUGGGGGAAGGGUGACUCUCCCUUUUAAAGUGGCUUCCUCCUCCCAAGUUAAGCAAGGUGGGAUAAUUCUGAGGCUCACACGGUUGCCGUCCGACUACAAUUGGGCCAACUGGACCAAUUGCGUCUUUGCCAACGGGUAAUAGUGGAGGAUGUCCUCAUCAUUCCCACCUUCUUAAAAUGGGCCCUAGCUCUGAUACCAGAUGAUACACCCAACCCAGGUGGGGUUGGCCGAGGCCCAACAAAUUAGGGUUGCUGGGGCCCAACAGUUCAUUAAGCACACCCAACUCAGGGAAAGGCCCAAUCGCCCCAAAAGACUAGUCCAAUGGGGGAAGGGUGGCUCUCCCUUUUAAAGUGGCUUCCUCCUCCCAAGUUAAGCGAGGUGGGAUAAUUCUGAGGCUCACACGGUCGUCGUCCGACUACAAUUGGGCCAACUGAGCCAAUUGCGUUUUUGCCAACGGGUAAUAGUGGAGGAUGUCCUCAUCAUUGGGCGUUCGGGUUUACCUAAAUUUUUGGGUUUUUUACAUUUUGGGUUUUCAGCAGUCGAACCCGAACUCAAACCCGGAAUUUGGGUACCCACAAUUUCGGGUUCGUGUAACAUUAAACUACUCGGUAUUAA
Molecule: long non-coding RNA, 1794 nt
Filed under: Zea mays
Lineage: Eukaryota; Viridiplantae; Streptophyta; Magnoliopsida; Poales; Poaceae
Description: long non-coding RNA (ZMAY_LNC004871)
Source: RNAcentral